This 759-nucleotide ribosomal RNA is filed under the name Triticum aestivum (bread wheat). RNAcentral describes it as "partial small subunit ribosomal RNA". Lineage: Eukaryota; Viridiplantae; Streptophyta; Magnoliopsida; Poales; Poaceae. The record is from RNAcentral.
AUGGCGGAGCGCAAGGAGGAGUCGGUGAUGGACAAGAUCACGGAGAAGUUCCACGGGGGGUCCUCCUCCUCGUCGUCGUCCGACGACGAGGGGAGGUCGGGGUCCUCGUCGUCCGUCAAGGCCAAGAUCUACCGCCUCUUCGGCCGCGAGAAGCCCGUCCACUCCGUCCUCGGCGGCGGCAAGCCUGCCGACCUCUUCCUGUGGAGGAACAAGAAGAUCUCUGGCGGGGUGCUCGCCGGCGCCACCGCCAUCUGGCUGCUGUUUGAGGUCCUGGAGUACCACCUCCUCACCCUCCUCUGCCACGGCUUCAUCCUCACCCUGGGCAUCCUCUUCCUCUGGUCCAACGCCUCUGCCUUCGUCAACAAGUGCCCUCCCAACAUUCCAGAGGUGAAGAUCCCUGAGGACCUGGCUGUCAAUGUUGCCCGCUCGCUGCGAUACGAGAUCAACAGGGGCUUUGCUAGCCUGAGGGCGAUUGGUCAAGGCCGUGACCUGAAGAAAUUCUUGAUUGUGGUUGCAGGCCUGUGGAUCCUCUCUUUUCUUGGCAGCUGCUGCAAUUUCCUGACCUUGUUCUACAUAGGUAUAUGUGGUUUCUUGCUACAGUUCGUUACUUACAUAUGUGCAAUAAGCUUGCCUAGCAUUGUUUCACUGAUCAUGCCUUCUUGUUUGCAGUCUUCAUGGUGCUUUACACCGUGCCUGUUCUGUACGAGAAGUAUGAGGACAAGAUCGAUGCUUUUGGAGAGAAGGCCAUGGUUGAGCUGA